GCGUACCUUUUGUAUAAUGGGUCAGCGACUUAUAUUCUGUAGCAAGGUUAACCGAAUAGGGGAGCCGGAGGGAAACCGAGUCUUAAUUGGGCGUUAAGUUGCAGGGUAUAGACCCGAAACCCGGUGAUCUAGCCAUGGGCAGGUUGAAGGUUGGGUAACACUAACUGGAGGACCGAACCGACUAAUGUUGAAAAAUUAGCGGAUGACCUGUGGCUGGGGGUGAAAGGCCAAUCAAACCGGGAGAUAGCUGGUUCUCCCCGAAAGCUAUUUAGGUAGCGCCUCGUGAAUUCAUCUCCGGGGGUAGAGCACUGUUUCGGCUAGGGGGCCAUCCCGGCUUACCAACCCGAUGCAAACUGCGAAUACCGGAGAAUGUUAUCACGGGAGACACACGGCGGGUGCUAACGUCCGUCGUGAAGAGGGAAACAACCCAGACCGCCAGCUAAGGUCCCAAAGUCAUGGUUAAGUGGGAAACGAUGUGGGAAGGCCCAGACAGCCAGGAUGUUGGCUUAGAAGCAGCCAUCAUUUAAAGAAAGCGUAAUAGCUCACUGGUCGAGUCGGCCUGCGCGGAAGAUGUAACGGGGCUAAACCAUGCACCGAAGCUGCGGCAGCGACACUGUGUGUUGUUGGGUAGGGGAGCGUUCUGUAAGCCUGUGAAGGUGUGUCGUGAGGCAUGCUGGAGGUAUCAGAAGUGCGAAUGCUGACAUAAGUAACGAUAAAGCGGGUGAAAAGCCCGCUCGCCGGAAGACCAAGGGUUCCUGUCCAACGUUAAUCGGGGCAGGGUGAGUCGACCCCUAAGGCGAGGCCGAAAGGCGUAGUCGAUGGGAAACGGGUUAAUAUUCCCGUACUUGGUGUUACUGCGAAGGGGGGACGGAGAAGGCUAUGUUGGCCGGGCGACGGUUGUCCCGGUUUAAGCGUGUAGGUGUGUGUUCCAGGUAAAUCCGGUCCACUUUAACACUGAGGCGUGAUGACGAGGCACUACGGUGCUGAAGCAACAAAUGCCCUGCUUCCAGGAAAAGCCUCUAAGCAUCAGGUAACAUCAAAUCGUACCCCAAACCGACACAGGUGGUCAGGUAGAGAAUACCAAGGCGCUUGAGAGAACUCGGGUGAAGGAACUAGGCAAAAUGGUGCCGUAACUUCGGGAGAAGGCACGCUGACACGUAGGUGAAGUGAUUUACUCACGGAGCUGAAGUCAGUCGAAGAUACCAGCUGGCUGCAACUGUUUAUUAAAAACACAGCACUGUGCAAACACGAAAGUGGACGUAUACGGUGUGACGCCUGCCCGGUGCCGGAAGGUUAAUUGAUGGGGUCAGCGCAAGCGAAGCUCCUGAUCGAAGCCCCGGUAAACGGCGGCCGUAACUAUAACGGUCCUAAGGUAGCGAAAUUCCUUGUCGGGUAAGUUCCGACCUGCACGAAUGGCGUAAUGAUGGCCAGGCUGUCUCCACCCGAGACUCAGUGAAAUUGAACUCGCUGUGAAGAUGCAGUGUACCCGCGGCAAGACGGAAAGACCCCGUGAACCUUUACUAUAGCUUGACACUGAACAUUGAGCCUUGAUGUGUAGGAUAGGUGGGAGGCUUUGAAGCGUGGACGCCAGUCUGCGUGGAGCCGACCUUGAAAUACCACCCUUUAAUGUUUGAUGUUCUAACGUGGACCCGUAAUCCGGGUUGCGGACAGUGUCUGGUGGGUAGUUUGACUGGGGCGGUCUCCUCCUAAAGAGUAACGGAGGAGCACGAAGGUUGGCUAAUCCUGGUCGGACAUCAGGAGGUUAGUGCAAUGGCAUAAGCCAGCUUGACUGCGAGCGUGACGGCGCGAGCAGGUGCGAAAGCAGGUCAUAGUGAUCCGGUGGUUCUGAAUGGAAGGGCCAUCGCUCAACGGAUAAAAGGUACUCCGGGGAUAACAGGCUGAUACCGCCCAAGAGUUCAUAUCGACGGCGGUGUUUGGCACCUCGAUGUCGGCUCAUCACAUCCUGGGGCUGAAGUAGGUCCCAAGGGUAUGGCUGUUCGCCAUUUAAAGUGGUACGCGAGCUGGGUUUAGAACGUCGUGAGACAGUUCGGUCCCUAUCUGCCGUGGGCGCUGGAGAACUGAGGGGGGCUGCUCCUAGUACGAGAGGACCGGAGUGGACGCAUCACUGGUGUUCGGGUUGUCAUGCCAAUGGCACUGCCCGGUAGCUAAAUGCGGAAGAGAUAAGUGCUGAAAGCAUCUAAGCACGAAACUUGCCCCGA
This 2219-nucleotide ribosomal RNA is filed under the name Salmonella enterica subsp. enterica serovar Richmond. Its description in RNAcentral is "partial 23S ribosomal RNA". It matches the Rfam family "Bacterial large subunit ribosomal RNA", at positions 599 to 2802 of the family's 2925-position model. The record is from RNAcentral. Lineage: Bacteria; Pseudomonadati; Pseudomonadota; Gammaproteobacteria; Enterobacterales; Enterobacteriaceae.